GAUAUUAUUAUAUACCAGAAUUCCAAGGAGGAAGGACCUUAGGGAAAGCACAAUUGGCUUUCUCCUUUUCCAAGGAGAAAAUCCUCUCCCCAAAAGGCACUGGAUGAGCUUCUUCUUGUGUUUAUUGGCUAGAACUGAAUCACAUGCUCAUUGCUACACCAAUCAUUUGUAAAGACCCUGGUCACAAUACUAAGUGAAACAUGGAACGAAACACGUCUAUCAAGAAGUCAGCCAAAGUUAUUCAAAAUUGCCAGCAGGACUGUUUGAAAUGGCACAGCUGUCCUCAGAGAAGACAUACAUAUUCAUUUUCUACACGGUAUUGCUCUUUCUGAGUUUCUCCUGUGAAAGUUUCCCAUUUUCUGUGCCAUGCUUCUGUGCCAUUUGGGGUACGUGGAAAUCCAUUCUGCACGCUCUCAUGUAACAGACCACAAAUUUAGCGGGAAAAGUAAAAACGAUGA
Molecule: long non-coding RNA, 458 nt
Organism: Tupaia belangeri chinensis (Chinese tree shrew)
Lineage: Eukaryota; Metazoa; Chordata; Mammalia; Scandentia; Tupaiidae
Exons: 3
Source: RefSeq, a predicted model, not a curated record